GUGGUUGUGGUGUAGUUUGGUUAACACGCAAGCCUGUGGAGCUUGAGAUCGGGAGUUCAAAUCUCCCCUUCCACC
Molecule: transfer RNA, 75 nt
Filed under: Nanobdellota archaeon
Lineage: Archaea; Nanobdellati; Nanobdellota
Description: tRNA-His
Rfam family: tRNA
About the family: Transfer RNA (tRNA) molecules are approximately 80 nucleotides in length.
Source: RNAcentral